RNAcentral lists this non-coding RNA (383 nucleotides) under Pelecanus crispus (Dalmatian pelican). RNAcentral describes it as "Eukaryotic large subunit ribosomal RNA". It matches the Rfam family "Eukaryotic large subunit ribosomal RNA", at positions 1536 to 1882 of the family's 3401-position model. Lineage: Eukaryota; Metazoa; Chordata; Aves; Pelecaniformes; Pelecanidae. The record is from Rfam by way of RNAcentral.
CAGUCGGUCCUAAGCGAUAGGCGAGUGCCGUUCCGAAAGGGCGGGCGAUGGCCUCCGUUGUCCUCAGCCGAUCGAAAGGGAGUCGGGUUCAGAUCCCCGAAUCCGGAGUGGCGGAGACGGGCGCCGCGAGGCGCCCAGUGCGGUGACGCAACCGAUCCCGGAGAAGCCGGCGGGAGCCCCGGGGAGAGUUCUCUUUUCUUUGUGAAGGGCCGGGCGCCCUGGAAUGGGUUCGCCCCGAGAGAGGGGCCCGCGCCUUGGAAAGCGUCGCGGUUCCGGCGGCGUCCGGUGAGCUCUCGCUGGCCCGUGAAAAUCCGGGGGAGAGGGUGUAAGUCUCGCGCCGGGCCGUACCCAUAUCCGCAGCAGGUCUCCAAGGUGAACAGCCU